This 1343-nucleotide ribosomal RNA is filed under the name uncultured bacterium. RNAcentral's name for it is "16S ribosomal RNA". It matches the Rfam family "Bacterial small subunit ribosomal RNA", at positions 28 to 1378 of the family's 1533-position model. The record is from RNAcentral.
GACGAACGCUGUCGGCGUGCUUAACACAUGCAAGUCGAACGGAAAGGCCCUGCUUUUGUGGGGUGCUCGAGUGGCGAACGGGUGAGUAACACGUGAGUAACCUGCCCUUGACUUUGGGAUAACCUCAGGAAACUGGGGCUAAUACCGGAUAGGAGCUCCUGCUGCAUGGUGGGGGUUGGAAAGUUUCGGCGGUUGGGGAUGGACUCGCGGCUUAUCAGCUUGUUGGUGGGGUAGUGGCUUACCAAGGCUUUGACGGGUAGCCGGCCUGAGAGGGUGACCGGCCACAUUGGGACUGAGAUACGGCCCAGACUCCUACGGGAGGCAGCAGUGGGGAAUAUUGCACAAUGGGCGGAAGCCUGAUGCAGCAACGCCGCGUGCGGGAUGACGGCCUUCGGGUUGUAAACCGCUUUCGCCUGUGACGAAGCGUGAGUGACGGUAAUGGGUAAAGAAGCACCGGCUAACUACGUGCCAGCAGCCGCGGUGAUACGUAGGGUGCGAGCGUUGUCCGGAUUUAUUGGGCGUAAAGGGCUCGUAGGUGGUUGAUCGCGUCGGAAGUGUAAUCUUGGGGCUUAACCCUGAGCGUGCUUUCGAUACGGGUUGACUUGAGGAAGGUAGGGGAGAAUGGAAUUCCUGGUGGAGCGGUGGAAUGCGCAGAUAUCAGGAGGAACACCAGUGGCGAAGGCGGUUCUCUGGGCCUUUCCUGACGCUGAGGAGCGAAAGCGUGGGGAGCGAACAGGCUUAGAUACCCUGGUAGUCCACGCUGUAAACGGUGGGUACUAGGUGUGGGGUCCAUUCCACGGGUUCCGUGCCGUAGCUAACGCUUUAAGUACCCCGCCUGGGGAGUACGGCCGCAAGGCUAAAACUCAAAGGAAUUGACGGGGCCCCGCACAAGCGGCGGAGCAUGCGGAUUAAUUCGAUGCAACGCGUAGAACCUUACCUGGGUUUGACAUGGAUCGGGAGUGCUCAGAGAUGGGUGUGCCUCUUUUGGGGUCGGUUCACAGGUGGUGCAUGGCUGUCGUCAGCUCGUGUCGUGAGAUGUUGGGUUAAGUCCCGCAACGAGCGCAACCCUUGUUUACUGUUGCCAGCACGUUAUGGUGGGGACUCAGUGGAGACCGCCGGGGUCAACUCGGAGGAAGGUGGGGAUGACGUCAAGUCAUCAUGCCCCUUAUGUCCAGGGCUUCACGCAUGCUACAAUGGCUGGUACAGAGAGUGGCGAGCCUGUGAGGGUGAGCGAAUCUCGGAAAGCCGGUCUCAGUUCGGAUUGGGGUCUGCAACUCGACCUCAUGAAGUCGGAGUCGCUAGUAAUCGCAGAUCAGCAACGCUGCGGUGAAUACGUUCCCGGG